RNAcentral lists this unclassified non-coding RNA (413 nucleotides) under soil metagenome. Its description in RNAcentral is "partial contains 5.8S ribosomal RNA, internal transcribed spacer 2, and large subunit ribosomal RNA". The stretch from base 1 to 120 matches the Rfam family "5.8S ribosomal RNA", at positions 35 to 154 of the family's 154-position model. The record is from RNAcentral.
GAUGAAGAACGCAGCGAAAUGCGAUAAGUAAUGUGAAUUGCAGAAUUCAGUGAAUCAUCGAAUCUUUGAACGCACCUUGCGCUCUUUGGUAUUCCGAAGAGCAUGCCUGUUUGAGUGUCAUGAAAAUAUCAACCUUGACUUGGGUUUUGUGCUCUAGUCUCGGCUUGGAAUUGGGUGCUUGCCGCUUUUACGAGCGGCUCACCUUAAAUGUAUUAGCUGGAUCUGUCUUUGAGACUUGGUUUGACUUGGCGUAAUAAGUACUUCGCUAAGGACAUUCUUCGGAGUGGCCUCGUUUCUAGGACGCUUGUCCGCUUUCCAAUACAAGUUCCACCUCGUGGACAUGACUUUUUAUUAUCUGGCCUCAAAUCAGGUAGGACUACCCGCUGAACUUAAGCAUAUCAAUAAGCGGAGGA